This 1341-nucleotide long non-coding RNA is filed under the name Anser brachyrhynchus (Pink-footed goose). RNAcentral describes it as "lncRNA (ENSABRG00000017573.1)". Lineage: Eukaryota; Metazoa; Chordata; Aves; Anseriformes; Anatidae. The record is from RNAcentral.
UGAGUUUCUUUAUUAUUUUAUUUUUAACUCCUUUUAUACAUCUAAGUUUACUUUAGCAUUUUAUUUAUAUUUAUUACCUUUGAUUUCCUACUUCCCUCACUAGCCUGUUGAUUUGCAGUUGCCGGUUUCACUUCACCGUUGGAUGGGGAAGGUCUUCUGGGUAACAAAGAGCCCUUUUGCCCUUCAACCACAGAACGGCACCCAAGAUGAUAAAGAUGUGCACUGGUGGAAUGGCAGGACAGACUGCUGCCUACAGCCUCUUGUUUCAUGUAAUACACCUUGUAAUUUUGGAAAACAUGACCUGUCAACACACCACCACUGUUCCAGCAGAUGAAGGAUGGAAUUCAGCUAGAGAACUCACUCAGCAUCAUCCUGCAAGGACUAUCCCCUAUUGACAGGGCAGCUUCCACAGCUGCUGCACAUCACCCAGACUGGCAUUUCCACCUAACCCCCGAGCAGCCUCACACCUUGGCAGCCAGCUUGGCUUCUUUGCCAUGGUCAAGUUAUGAAGUGGCAGGAAAGCAUCAGGCAGUCGGGACACACCACCCGGCCGUCUGCAGAUAAAGCAGCACCAAGCUACAGACUCCCACCAGAAAGAUGACACUACUGUUGACAGGUUUUAUUCCUUUUCCCUGAAGACUUUUACAUUUUCCAGUUCCUUUCACCCACCUCUAAGAAGGUCACAUUCUUAGGUAUUAAGCACUUAAGUUUGUUGUAAUGGUUGUAAAACAUCAUUCAUUUGAUCAUUUUGUAUUGGGUGGAUGAUGGGUGGGGGCAGGCAAGGUUUAAAGCACAAACAUCAGUUUAACAUGUGAGGCCUGAAAGCAUUUGAAUCUUAUGCCCACGGAUACAGAACAUGUAUUUUGAGAACAUCACUCCAAACCAUCUUGUCCAGUAUCUAGCCACUAGAAAUAAGCACAUCUAGGGCUUAUCUGCAGCGCCAGUAAGAAGUAUCGAAGGCAGACCCACAAAAGCAGAAUACCUGAAAGAACAGAAGUUCUCUUUUUGAACAAGUCCAGUUACAACAACCACUUCUUUGGUCGUGCAAGCCCUUUUCGGGAUAUAGCUGACUCCAAAAGCAGAGCAGCACCAAGUUUUUCUUGCCGUCUGAGUCACCUCUGCUAUGCCAGCAUCAACACCUCUGAUGUUACUCAGGAUGUUCCCUCUAAUUAUCUGGAGAUGUAGAUCUGCAUGAAUAAUUUAUAUAUUGGCUUGGUAGUAGAACCAAAAUAUAUAUUAAAAAUUCAUUCAGUUCAUGCAAAAAAUAGAGUACCAAGGUGUUUUAAGGGAAUACAAAUCAAAAAAAAUAAAUCCCUUUUUAGGUCACUCUCUAGCUUACCU